GCCUGGGUGGCUCAGUUGGUUAAGUGUCUGACUUCGGCUCAGGUCAUGAUCUCAUGGUUUGUGGGUUCGAGCCCCACAUCGGGCU
Molecule: transfer RNA, 85 nt
Filed under: Felis catus (domestic cat)
Lineage: Eukaryota; Metazoa; Chordata; Mammalia; Carnivora; Felidae
Rfam family: tRNA
About the family: Transfer RNA (tRNA) molecules are approximately 80 nucleotides in length.
Source: Rfam by way of RNAcentral